RNAcentral lists this ribosomal RNA (399 nucleotides) under uncultured bacterium. RNAcentral describes it as "bacterial SSU rRNA". It matches the Rfam family "Bacterial small subunit ribosomal RNA", at positions 354 to 746 of the family's 1533-position model. The record is from RNAcentral.
GUCGGGAAUAUUGGGCAAUGGGCGAAAGCCUGACCCAGCAACGCCGCGUGAAGGAUGAAGGCCUUAGGGUCGUAAACUUCUGUCGAGAGGGAAGAAUUGCGUGUGGUCAAUAUCCAUGCGUUUGACGGUACCUCCAAAGGAAGCACCGGCUAACUCCGUGCCAGCAGCCGCGGUAAUACGGAGGGUGCAAGCGUUGUUCGGAUUUAUUGGGCGUAAAGCGAGUGUAGGCGGUUUGAAAAGUCGGGUGUGAAAUCCCAGGGCCCAACCCUGGAACUGCAUCCGAUACUGUCAGGCUAGAGUUCCGGAGAGGGUGGCGGAAUUCCCGGUGUAGGGGUGAAAUCCGUAGAUAUCGGGAGGAACACCAGUGGCGAAGGCGGCCACCUGGACGGUGACUGACGC